UGGGCGUUAAGUUGCAGGGUAUAGACCCGAAACCCGGUGAUCUAGCCAUGGGCAGGUUGAAGGUUGGGUAACACUAACUGGAGGACCGAACCGACUAAUGUUGAAAAAUUAGCGGAUGACUUGUGGCUGGGGGUGAAAGGCCAAUCAAACCGGGAGAUAGCUGGUUCUCCCCGAAAGCUAUUUAGGUAGCGCCUCGUGAAUUCAUCUCCGGGGGUAGAGCACUGUUUCGGCAAGGGGGUCAUCCCGACUUACCAACCCGAUGCAAACUGCGAAUACCGGAGAAUGUUAUCACGGGAGACACACGGCGGGUGCUAACGUCCGUCGUGAAGAGGGAAACAACCCAGACCGCCAGCUAAGGUCCCAAAGUCAUGGUUAAGUGGGAAACGAUGUGGGAAGGCCCAGACAGCCAGGAUGUUGGCUUAGAAGCAGCCAUCAUUUAAAGAAAGCGUAAUAGCUCACUGGUCGAGUCGGCCUGCGCGGAAGAUGUAACGGGGCUAAACCAUGCACCGAAGCUGCGGCAGCGACACUAUGUGUUGUUGGGUAGGGGAGCGUUCUGUAAGCCUGUGAAGGUGUACUGUGAGGUAUGCUGGAGGUAUCAGAAGUGCGAAUGCUGACAUAAGUAACGAUAAAGCGGGUGAAAAGCCCGCUCGCCGGAAGACCAAGGGUUCCUGUCCAACGUUAAUCGGGGCAGGGUGAGUCGACCCCUAAGGCGAGGCCGAAAGGCGUAGUCGAUGGGAAACAGGUUAAUAUUCCUGUACUUGGUGUUACUGCGAAGGGGGGACGGAGAAGGCUAUGUUGGCCGGGCGACGGUUGUCCCGGUUUAAGCGUGUAGGCUGGUUUUCCAGGCAAAUCCGGAAAAUCAAGGCUGAGGCGUGAUGACGAGGCACUACGGUGCUGAAGCAACAAAUGCCCUGCUUCCAGGAAAAGCCUCUAAGCAUCAGGUAACAUCAAAUCGUACCCCAAACCGACACAGGUGGUCAGGUAGAGAAUACCAAGGCGCUUGAGAGAACUCGGGUGAAGGAACUAGGCAAAAUGGUGCCGUAACUUCGGGAGAAGGCACGCUGAUAUGUAGGUGAAGCGACUUGCUCGUGGAGCUGAAAUCAGUCGAAGAUACCAGCUGGCUGCAACUGUUUAUUAAAAACACAGCACUGUGCAAACACGAAAGUGGACGUAUACGGUGUGACGCCUGCCCGGUGCCGGAAGGUUAAUUGAUGGGGUUAGCGGUAACGCGAAGCUCUUGAUCGAAGCCCCGGUAAACGGCGGCCGUAACUAUAACGGUCCUAAGGUAGCGAAAUUCCUUGUCGGGUAAGUUCCGACCUGCACGAAUGGCGUAAUGAUGGCCAGGCUGUCUCCACCCGAGACUCAGUGAAAUUGAACUCGCUGUGAAGAUGCAGUGUACCCGCGGCAAGACGGAAAGACCCCGUGAACCUUUACUAUAGCUUGACACUGAACAUUGAGCCUUGAUGUGUAGGAUAGGUGGGAGGCUUUGAAGUGUGGACGCCAGUCUGCAUGGAGCCGACCUUGAAAUACCACCCUUUAAUGUUUGAUGUUCUAACGUUGGCCCGUUAUCCGGGUUGCGGACAGUGUCUGGUGGGUAGUUUGACUGGGGCGGUCUCCUCCUAAAGAGUAACGGAGGAGCACGAAGGUUGGCUAAUCCUGGUCGGACAUCAGGAGGUUAGUGCAAUGGCAUAAGCCAGCUUGACUGCGAGCGUGACGGCGCGAGCAGGUGCGAAAGCAGGUCAUAGUGAUCCGGUGGUUCUGAAUGGAAGGGCCAUCGCUCAACGGAUAAAAGGUACUCCGGGGAUAACAGGCUGAUACCGCCCAAGAGUUCAUAUCGACGGCGGUGUUUGGCACCUCGAUGUCGGCUCAUCACAUCCUGGGGCUGAAGUAGGUCCCAAGGGUAUGGCUGUUCGCCAUUUAAAGUGGUACGCGAGCUGGGUUUAGAACGUCGUGAGACAGUUCGGUCCCUAUCUGCCGUGGGCGCUGGAGAACUGAGGGGGGCUGCUCCUAGUACGAGAGGACCGGAGUGGACGCAUCACUGGUGUUCGGGUUGUCAUGCCAAUGGCACUGCCCGGUAGCUAAAUGCGGAAGAGAUAAGUGCUGAAAGCAUCUAAGCACGAAACUUGCCCCGAGAUGAGUUCUCCCUGACUCCCUGAGAGUCCUGAAGGAACGUUGAAGACGACGACGUUGAUAGGCCGGGUGUGUAAGCGCAGCGAUGCGUUGAGCUAACCGGUACUAAUGAACCGUGAGGCUUAACCUU
RNAcentral lists this ribosomal RNA (2260 nucleotides) under Escherichia coli. Its description in RNAcentral is "bacterial LSU rRNA". It matches the Rfam family "Bacterial large subunit ribosomal RNA", at positions 689 to 2925 of the family's 2925-position model. Lineage: Bacteria; Pseudomonadati; Pseudomonadota; Gammaproteobacteria; Enterobacterales; Enterobacteriaceae. The record is from RNAcentral.